GAUGAACGCUGGCGGCGUGCCUAAUACAUGCAAGUCGAGCGAACGGACGAGAAGCUUGCUUCUCUGAUGUUAGCGGCGGACGUGUGAGUAACACGUGGAUAACCUACCUAUAUUACUGGGAUAACUUCGGGAACCCGGAUCUAAUACCGGAUAAUAUUUUUAACCUCAUUGUUCAAAAGUGAACGACGUUCUUUCUGUCUCUUUUAGUUGCAUCCGCGCUGCAUUAGCUAGUUGGUAAGGUAACGGCUUACCAAGGCAACGAUGCAUAUCCGACCUGAGAGGGUGAUCGGCCACACUGGAACUGAGACACGGUCCAGACUCCUACGGGAGGCAGCAGUAGGGAAUCUUACGCAAUGGGCGAAAGCAUGACGGAGCAACGCCGCGUGAGUGAUGAAGGUCUUAGGAUCGUAAAACUCUGUUAUUAGGGAAGAACAUAUGUGUAAGUAACUGUGCACAGAUUGACGGUAACUAAUCAGAAAGCAACGGCUAACUACGUG
RNAcentral lists this ribosomal RNA (497 nucleotides) under uncultured bacterium. Its description in RNAcentral is "partial 16S ribosomal RNA". It matches the Rfam family "Bacterial small subunit ribosomal RNA", at positions 28 to 507 of the family's 1533-position model. The record is from RNAcentral.